CCGACGGUGAGGGGCGAAAGCUGGGGGAGCAAACCGGAUUAGAUACCCGGGUAGUCCCAGCCGUAAACGAUGUGCGUUAGGUGUAUCGGUGACCACGAGUCACCGAGGUGCCGAAGAGAAAUCGUGAAACGUACCGCCUGGGAAGUACGGUCGCAAGGCUGAAACUUAAAGGAAUUGGCGGGGGAGCACCACAACAGGUGGAGCCUGCGGUUUAAUCGGACUCAACGCCGGGAAACUCACCAGAUAA
RNAcentral lists this ribosomal RNA (247 nucleotides) under uncultured archaeon. RNAcentral describes it as "partial 16S ribosomal RNA". It matches the Rfam family "Archaeal small subunit ribosomal RNA", at positions 691 to 937 of the family's 1478-position model. The record is from RNAcentral.